This 77-nucleotide transfer RNA is filed under the name Rhodospirillaceae bacterium. RNAcentral describes it as "tRNA-Arg". It matches the Rfam family "tRNA". From Rfam's summary of the family: Transfer RNA (tRNA) molecules are approximately 80 nucleotides in length. The record is from RNAcentral. RNAcentral also lists the same sequence under 2 other names. Lineage: Bacteria; Pseudomonadati; Pseudomonadota; Alphaproteobacteria; Rhodospirillales; Rhodospirillaceae.
GCACCCGUAGCUCAGCUGGAUAGAGCGCUGCCCUCCGAAGGCAGAGGUCGCGCGUUCGAAUCGCGCCGGGUGCGCCA